UAGUCCACGCCCUAAACGAUGACAACUAACCGUUGGGCCUUCGGGUUUAGUGGUGAAGCAAACGCGCUAAGUUGUCCGCCUGGGGAGUACGGCCGCAAGGUUAAAACUCAAAUGAAUUGACGGGGGCCCGCACAAGCGGUGGAGCAUGUGGUUUAAUUCGAUGCAACGCGAAGAACCUUACCUGGGCUCUAAUGCCUUUGCCAGUCCAUGAAAGUGGAUUUCCUUCGGGACAAAGUGCAAGGUGCUGCAUGGUUGUCGUCAGCUCGUGCCGUGAGGUGUUGGGUUAAGUCCCGCAACGAGCGCAACCCCUAUCUUCAGUUGCCAGCAUGUAAUGAUGGGGACUCUGGAGAGACUGCCUCCGCAAGGAGCGAGGAAGGCGGGGACGACGUCAAAUCAUCAUGGCCUUUAUGCCCAGGGGCUACACACGUGCUACAAUGGGCAGGGUACAGGA
This 451-nucleotide ribosomal RNA is filed under the name uncultured bacterium. RNAcentral's name for it is "bacterial SSU rRNA". It matches the Rfam family "Bacterial small subunit ribosomal RNA", at positions 791 to 1246 of the family's 1533-position model. The record is from RNAcentral.